Molecule: ribosomal RNA, 439 nt
Filed under: Polynucleobacter sp. Fw70-18
Lineage: Bacteria; Pseudomonadati; Pseudomonadota; Betaproteobacteria; Burkholderiales; Burkholderiaceae
Description: bacterial SSU rRNA
Rfam family: Bacterial small subunit ribosomal RNA
Source: RNAcentral
GCCUUACACAUGCAAGUCGAACGGCAGCACGGGUGCUUGCACCUGGUGGCGAGUGGCGAACGGGUGAGUAAUACAUCGGAACGUACCUUAUCGUGGGGGAUAACGCAGCGAAAGCUGUGCUAAUACCGCAUACGCCCUGAGGGGGAAAGCGGGGGAUCGAAAGACCUCGCGCGAUUAGAGCGGCCGAUGCCUGAUUAGCUUGUUGGUGGGGUAAAAGCCCACCAAGGCGACGAUCAGUAGCUGGUCUGAGAGGACGAUCAGCCACACUGGGACUGAGACACGGCCCAGACUCCUACGGGAGGCAGCAGUGGGGAAUUUUGGACAAUGGGGGCAACCCUGAUCCAGCAAUGCCGCGUGAGUGAAGAAGGCCUUCGGGUUGUAAAGCUCUUUUGUCAGGGAAGAAACACCGGCUCUAACACAGUCCGGGAAUGACGGUACC